This 77-nucleotide transfer RNA is filed under the name Candidatus Muproteobacteria bacterium RIFCSPHIGHO2_02_FULL_65_16. RNAcentral's name for it is "tRNA-Asp". It matches the Rfam family "tRNA". Rfam says of the family: Transfer RNA (tRNA) molecules are approximately 80 nucleotides in length. The record is from RNAcentral. RNAcentral also lists the same sequence under 1 other name. Lineage: Bacteria; Pseudomonadati; Pseudomonadota; Candidatus Muproteobacteria.
GGAGCGGUAGUUCAGUUGGUUAGAAUACCGGCCUGUCACGCCGGGGGUCACGGGUUCGAGUCCCGUCCGCUCCGCCA